This 292-nucleotide ribosomal RNA is filed under the name uncultured eukaryote. Its description in RNAcentral is "partial 18S ribosomal RNA". It matches the Rfam family "Eukaryotic small subunit ribosomal RNA", at positions 6 to 272 of the family's 1831-position model. The record is from RNAcentral.
GGUUGAUCCUGCCAGUAGUCAUAUGCUUGUCUCAAAGAUUAAGCCAUGCACGUCUAAGUAUAAACGAGAUUAUACAGUGAGACUGCGGAUGGCUCAUUAAAUCAGUUAUAGUUUGUUUGAUGGUUUUUUCACCUAUUUGGAUAACCGUGGUAAUCCUAGAGCUAAUACAUGCGUGCAAACCUGACUAAGAAAGAAGUGCCUUUAAUCAUGAGGUGCUUUGAUUUUGGAAAGGAUGGAUUUAUUAGAUACCAAAAACCACUAUGUUUUUGGUAACAAAAACACUUUUUUCGGU